UGUAACUGACACGUGGGCCCUAUAGUUUUUAUUAUUUUUCUAGACUAAAUUGUCACGUCAACGCCACGUGGGAUAAAGACCCAGUCAAACAAGUUACGUAGGCACCACGUUAGCCAAAACCAUCAUCCAAACCGUCCUAAGACCUCGUGCGCUUUAGUUUUAUAAGUUAAGGGAUGCAUUGCAUCCGGUUUUUGUGGUUCAGGGUGUUUUUGAAAACUCGACGACAAGAUAAGGGACGUAAAGUGUACUUUUGCAUAGUUAAAUGCCCAUCGCAGCUUAUAAUUCUACAACGAGUGGGCUGGCCCACAUUGAGCCCAACCGGUGCCACCAUCGACGACCUCCGCCUCUCGCCCAGCCGCCCUCAUCGCUUUCCGGUCGCCGUCGCUCCGAAACCCCAUGAACCUUUCCCCCCCUCCCUUCGCGCCGCCGCCACCCCUAUCCGCGCCAUCACCGGGAGUGAGAAAGGCGACAGCUGCAGCAGGAGCAGACCGCGCGAGAGAGCGAGAGGGAGGAAGGUAUGGGAAGCGGCAGGAAGCGAGGGCGCACUGUCAGGAGCCGGCCAGAUGAAAGGUCCUGAACGCAGCGCCGCCACUUCAAGCAGGGGCGCGAGAACAUCUUGAAGCACAAACCCCAGCGCCCUCCUGUGGCGAAGGAGCCGAAGGAAGCGGUGAUGGGUGCAGGGGAACCCCUCGUGGUAGCCCUUCACCACCGAGAACCCGGCUUGGAGGACUACUUACAAGAUUUACCUUAUGGUAAUAGAAGCCUAAAGCUGGGACGCACUGAAUCGAUUUACGGGUGGGGGCAUUCGGCGGUUGACAGAGUAAACAGGGCAGCGGCACAGCAGGGUAGCUUAGACAGCUUGGACAAGGCAGAGUUUGGUGUGGUGAAGUGGUUUAGAUGACUACGGGAACGGGCUGGCAGAAGCAGAACCUGGGGAAAAUCCCUGGAAAAGCUGGAAUUGGAAGGUAGCUACUGAAAGUCUGAAAUUUAUACCUACUUCUCGGUCCUGUUCGUAGAAUUCAGAUUUCAGAAGCUGGGAGAGUGGGAGGUUGAUACCGAUGGGCCAGUGUGCCACUGUGCGCGAUGUGCACUAGCUGUAUGAUAUGCGUGCGUCCUUGUUGUGCUGGACCGAUAAACACACAAAGUGUAGUGCAAUGUCACCAAUUGUGAGCAAGCCAGGCAUGCUUGUAUGUAAGGAAUGCUGAAAAAAGCACUCAUGGACUAGCUGUACAUGCAGUAUGCAUGUUUCUAUGACCACUAAGAUGUGAUUUGAAAUAUAGUGAUAACCAAUAAUCAAUGACAAUUCUUCUCGACACUAA
Molecule: long non-coding RNA, 1319 nt
Organism: Oryza sativa Japonica Group (Japanese rice)
Lineage: Eukaryota; Viridiplantae; Streptophyta; Magnoliopsida; Poales; Poaceae
Source: RefSeq, a predicted model, not a curated record